UUUGUUUACAAUAAAUGUGAGAUUUUUUUUAUAAUUAUUAUAAGGACAAGUCAAAGUGCUGUUAGAUGUGACUUGAAAUUGAUUAUCAGCUCAAGUUCGGAUUUUCGACUCGCCGACAGUUUCGUAGUGUGACCAAAUUAAAAAGCAAUUUUGUGAAGGAAAAUGAAUGUCUGUGGUGGGUAGCGGAGGGUUUGGGCCGACAGACCCGAGUCCGAAACCCGUUAUGAGUUUUCUUUUUCGUUUUUGCCCUAGAGGCGUGAGAUCGUGGUCGGUUGUAAUCAUCUGAAUAUUGUAUUCCCUUUUUGUUUUGAUAGUGAAGUUCUCUCCUCCCUCGCCCGUGAUUUUUUUCUGUAAAAAAUUUUCAUGUAAAUCUGUGUAUUCUUUUUAUUUUCUGCUUGAGGUUUGAUUAUUUCAUGUUGCCAUUUUUUUUUCAUUUGUGCGUUUGUCCUAACAAGUGCAAUAUUUGGAAAAAGAAAAAAAAAAAACAUCAGUGCUAAA
RNAcentral lists this long non-coding RNA (498 nucleotides) under Ananas comosus (pineapple). Its description in RNAcentral is "long non-coding RNA (ACOM_LNC021682)". The record is from RNAcentral. Lineage: Eukaryota; Viridiplantae; Streptophyta; Magnoliopsida; Poales; Bromeliaceae.